This 546-nucleotide ribosomal RNA is filed under the name uncultured bacterium. Its description in RNAcentral is "partial 16S ribosomal RNA". It matches the Rfam family "Bacterial small subunit ribosomal RNA", at positions 355 to 887 of the family's 1533-position model. The record is from RNAcentral.
UGGGGAAUAUUGCACAAUGGGCGCAAGCCUGAUGCAGCCAUGCCGCGUGUGUGAAGAAGGCCUUCGGGUUGUAAAGCACUUUCAGCGAGGAGGAAGGUGGUGGACUUAAUACGUUCAUCAAUUGACGUUACUCGCAGAAGAAGCACCGGCUAACUCCGUGCCAGCAGCCGCGGUAAUACGGAGGGUGCAAGCGUUAAUCGGAAUUACUGGGCGUAAAGCGCACGCAGGCGGUUUGUUAAGUCAGAUGUGAAAUCCCCGGGGCUCAACCUGGGAACUGCAUUUGAAACUGGCAAGCUAGAGUCUCGUAGAGGGGGGUAGAAUUCCAGGUGUAGCGGUGAAAUGCGUAGAGAUCUGGAGGAAUACCGGUGGCGAAGGCGGCCCCCUGGACGAAGACUGACGCUCAGGUGCGAAAGGCGUGGGGGAGCAAACAGGAUUAGAUACCCUGGUAGUCCACGCUGUAAACGAUGUCGAUUUUGGAGGUUGUGCCCUUGAGGCGUGGCUUCCGGAGCUAACGCGUUAAAGUCGACCGCCUGGGGGAGUACGGCC